Molecule: ribosomal RNA, 256 nt
Filed under: uncultured bacterium
Lineage: Bacteria
Description: partial 16S ribosomal RNA
Rfam family: Bacterial small subunit ribosomal RNA
Source: RNAcentral
GCAAGUCGAACGAGAACGGAAUAUAGCUUGCUAUAUUUGUCAGCUAAGUGGCGCACGGGUGAGUAAUAUAUAGUUAAUCUGCCUCUAAGAAGGGAAUAAUUGAUGGAAACGUCUUGUAAUGCCCUAUAUGCCUUUAUGACAUAAGUCAGCAAGGGAAACGCUUUUGUGCUUAGAGAUGAGACUGUACAGUAUCAGCUUGUUGGUGAGGUAAUGGCUCACCAAGGCUAUGACACUUAACUGGUUUGAGAGGAUGAUC